Molecule: ribosomal RNA, 429 nt
Filed under: Fusobacteriota bacterium
Lineage: Bacteria; Fusobacteriati; Fusobacteriota
Description: Fusobacteria bacterium partial 16S ribosomal RNA
Rfam family: Bacterial small subunit ribosomal RNA
Source: RNAcentral
UGGGGAAUAUUGCGCAAUGGGCGAAAGCCUGACGCAGCGACGCCGCGUGAGGGAUGAAGGCUUUCGGAUCGUAAACCUCUGUCAGAAGGGAAGAAACCGCACUGUGCUAAUCAGCAGUGCUUUGACGGUACCUUCAAAGGAAGCACCGGCUAACUCCGUGCCAGCAGCCGCGGUAAUACGGAGGGUGCAAGCGCUAAUCGGAAUUACUGGGCGUAAAGCGCACGUAGGCUGCUUUGUAAGUUAGGGGUGAAAUCCCACGGCUCAACCGUGGAACUGCCUUUGAUACUGCUUAGCUUGAAUCCGGGAGAGGGUGGCGGAAUUCCAGGUGUAGGAGUGAGAUCCGUAGAUAUCUGGAGGAACAUCAGUGGCGUAGGCGGCCACCUGGACCGGUAUUGACGCUGAGGUGCGAAAGCAUGGGGAGCAAACAGG